UAUUAAACUGACUCCCCCAAAUCAGGGAACAGCGAAAAAAACUGUAAACUUAGAGAUAACUUGUUUUAAGGCCUAGUGUUUUGGGGUCUCGGCUUCACUGACCAGGUUGAUUUUCUCACCGUCUUUCUGUGUUUUCACUUCCUUAUUCCCAGAGGAACAAGGAAGGAGUGCUCUUAAUGAUUUCUUUCCUUUCCUCAAAGAGGAGCAGAUGUUUGAACUUUGUGGCUUUUCAAAGUUUAAAGUUUUUUCACUGAUUUCACUGUCAUUAGGCAACUAUAACUCUUGGUGUUGUGAGUCAUCUCCAGAGCCUCGGGCCAAGCGGCCGUUGAAUAAUCUAACAAAUGUUCCUCCAUCUGUUUUUUUAUUUUUUUUUAUUAUUUUUUUUAAAUUAUUAACUGAUUUAUAUAUUGUUCCUUUUAUUGAGCCGCGUAAGUAAUGUGUUUUUUUCAACCUUCGUGAGCAUGUUCCAGCCACAUGAGCAUCUCAGCACAACCUGAACCGAACCUGCUGCGUCUGGUUUGUGUAUCUGAUCCGUGUGACAGCAGCGGCGAGGCCUGGCCAGCAUUACUGUCCUCUGCCAACGGGGGUGCCAGCUAGUUACUGUUCCAAGCAACCUGUGUUUUUCGCCGCUGAGUAUUUACGAAAACCAAAUUAUUUUCAGACAUCACACCUCCACCCAGCUGGGAUUAGUACAUCAGCUCAGUGAUGAAGACGAAUGACACUCUGCCAGAACCCCCCCCUCCCCACCCCGUCAGUUUCGAGACCAACCUGGCCGAGCUGCUCUGACACUCAGGAAGCCGCCCGUGCAAGUGUUGCACCCUGAACAGGAAGUGUGCCGUUUUUCUCUGCAAAUAUUUCAUCACCGUGCCUGCAGGCUCCAACGUCCCCCCUGGUAUCCUUAAAAAAAAAAAAAAAAAAAAAGCACAUUAAAAUACACACAUCUGCUUUACCUGACACAAUCUUUCUGCCUUUCAGGGGCUGUGACCUGUUCUGUAAUCACUCUUCCACUCAUCACCUUUUUUAUGCUACCAUAAUAAACUUCAUUACUGAACUCUGGGAGGACACUAUUUCUUCACACUGCCAUGUACGAAUACAUGUUGUAUAACGCUGUGAUUAUAAAGAAGAAUCAGAUCUGUUUAAGUAAGUCAAAGGUGACCGCAAUUCUUUAAUUCCUUCGUACAUGUCAUCACGCUUGUAUUGAGCAACAGCCUUUACACAUGGUUGAUAUCAUUUUUUUAUUUUUGUUGUUCCACAUGACACUUGAUUGGCGUCACUUGUGUGUGUGUAAUUUCUCACCUCCACUUCUUCUUUAGCUUUUUCACUUCAUCAUUUUGGUUUACUGCCUGCUGGUUUGGUUCACUUCUUCCAGUCAGUACGUUUACAUGCAUGUGAAAAAAACGAAUUAUUGC
Molecule: long non-coding RNA, 1409 nt
Organism: Mugil cephalus (flathead mullet)
Lineage: Eukaryota; Metazoa; Chordata; Actinopteri; Mugiliformes; Mugilidae
Exons: 4
Source: RefSeq, a predicted model, not a curated record